RNAcentral lists this ribosomal RNA (503 nucleotides) under uncultured bacterium. RNAcentral's name for it is "partial 16S ribosomal RNA". It matches the Rfam family "Bacterial small subunit ribosomal RNA", at positions 28 to 507 of the family's 1533-position model. The record is from RNAcentral.
GACGAACGCUGGCGGCGUGCUUAACACAUGCAAGUCGAACGGUGAAGCGCUUGCCUUUUUGGUGGGUGUGGAUGAGUGGCGAACGGGUGAGUAACACGUGAGUAACCUGCCCUCUUCUUCUGGAUAACCUCAUGAAAGUGGGGCUAAUACGGGGUAUUCCGGGUCUGUCGCAUGGCGGGUUUGGGAAAGAUUGCGCCUUUGGGUGUUUUCGGUGGGGGAUGGGCUCGCGGCCUAUCAGCUUGUUGGUGGGGUGAUGGCCUACCAAGGCGGUGACGGGUAGCCGGCCUGAGAGGGUGGACGGCCACACUGGGACUGAGACACGGCCCAGACGCCUGCGGGAGGCAGCAGUGGGGAAUAUUGCACAAUGGGCGAAGCCUGAUGCAGCGACGCCGCGUGAGGGAUGGAGGCCUUCGGGUUGUGAACCUCUUUCGCCAGGGAAGCAGGCCUGCUCCUGUGUGGGUGGGUUGACGGUAGCUGGAUAAGAAGCGCCGGCUAACUACGUG